AUACGUAGGGGACGAGCGUUGUCCGGAAUUACUGGGCGUAAAGGGCGCGCAGGCGGAUAUUUAAGUCAGCUGUAAAAGGCAUGAGCUCAACUCAUGUAUGCGGUUGAAACUGGGUAUCUAGAGUGCUGGAGAGGUAGGCGGAAUUCCCGGUGUAGCGGUGAAAUGCGUAGAUAUCGGGAAGAACACCAGUGGCGAAGGCGGCUGACGGGCGCGCAAGUGUCGCUGAGGCGCGAAAGCCAGGAGAGCAAACGGGAUUAGGUGCCCGAGUAGUCCUGGCAGUAGAGGAUGUAUGCUGGGUGUGAGAAUAACGAUAGUUUCGUGCCGAAGUUAACGCGAUAAGCAUACCGCCUGGGGAGUACGGUCGCAAGACGGAAACUUAAAGGAAUUGACGGUG
Molecule: ribosomal RNA, 394 nt
Filed under: uncultured bacterium
Lineage: Bacteria
Description: partial 16S ribosomal RNA
Rfam family: Bacterial small subunit ribosomal RNA
Source: RNAcentral